Molecule: ribosomal RNA, 576 nt
Filed under: uncultured eukaryote
Lineage: Eukaryota
Description: SSU rRNA
Rfam family: Eukaryotic small subunit ribosomal RNA
Source: RNAcentral
UAAAAACCCCGACUUCGGAAGGGGUGUAUUUAUUAGAUACAAAACCAAUGCCCUUCGGGGUUCUUUGGUGAUUCAUGAUAACUAUACGAAUCGCACGGCCUUGCGCCGGCGAUGGUUCAUUCAAAUUUCUUCCCUAUCAACUUUCGAUGUUUGGGUAUUGGCCAAACAUGGUUGCAACGGGUAACGGAGGGUUAGGGCUCGACCCCGGAGAAGGAGCCUGAGAAACGGCUACUACAUCCAAGGAAGGCAGCAGGCGCGCAAAUUACCCAAUCCCGACUCGGGGAGGUAGUGACAAUAAAUACUGAUACAGGGCCCUUUCGGGCCUUGUAAUUGGAAUGAGUACAAUUUAAAUCCCUUAACGAGGAACAAUUGGAGGGCAAGUCUGGUGCCAGCAGCCGCGGUAAUUCCAGCUCCAAUAGCGUAUAUUAAAGUUGUUGUGGUUAAAAAGCUCGUAGUUGAACCUUGGGCCUGGCUGGCCGGUCCGCCUCACCGCGUGCACUGGUCCGGCCGGGCCUUUCCCUCUGUGGAACCCCAUACCCUUCACUGGGCGUGGCGGGGAAACAGGACAUUUACUUU